UGUUAAUUUAAAGUUAUGAAAUGAAUGAAAUGAAAAAUGCUCCUUAUUUGUAUUUGAUAAUGAGAAAUGCUUUACAUUUUCCAUAUUAAAAGCCACAUCAAAAUCACCCAAAGUACAGAUCUGUCAAUACUGUUAUGUUAUCAAACAAUGGUGCUUCACAUAAGAAUCAACCAAGUCAGCCUUUGAACGAUUCCAACAUUUUAUCGGAUCUGUAAAAUAUGAACUGCAACGGACUGCAACUUCAAAAUAAAUUUACACCUUGGUCGUUUAAGUUAAUCCAGUCAUAAUUUAUCUUUCCUCACAUGUUCGAAAUAGAAAUGAAAGCGCAAAUACGGAAAGUGCAGAUAUCUCUUAAAAAAUUACAUGAAUGAUAACGUAUUCGGUAAAACGUUUUCCAAUUUACAAAACGGUAAAUUAUUUAUGAUUAAUUUAACAUUGUUUCUAAAAUACACAGAGUCUCUGAAUCAUUUUUUGACGAUUUAGCUUUCUGAAAGAAGGCAUGAAUGUCAUUGUGUUUAACACAAAAAAACUUGAUGGUGAUUCAUCAAAAAUGAGUUCACACACUGCAAAUGAGACAUUUUCCUGUUUAAAUUCUGUGUCUUAUUAAGUAAUAACAAAAAAAGAUAUACAAGUUUUAACUUUCGUUUCGUCCCCGAGGGUAUCACCAG
This 668-nucleotide long non-coding RNA is filed under the name Mytilus galloprovincialis (Mediterranean mussel). Lineage: Eukaryota; Metazoa; Mollusca; Bivalvia; Mytilida; Mytilidae. The record is from RNAcentral.